UACGGAGGAUCCAAGCGUUAUCCGGAAUCAUUGGGUUUAAAGGGUGCGUAGGCGGCUUGUCAAGUAGGGUGUGAAAGCCCCCGGCUUAACCGGGGAAUUGCGCCCUAAACUGACGAGCUGGAGUGGGACAGGGGUGUGUGGAACUUCCGGUGGAGCGGUGAAAUGUGUUGAUAUCGGAAGGAACGCCGGUGGCGAAAGCGACACACUGGGUCUCAACUGACGCUGAGGCACGAAAGCCAGGGGAUCGAACGGG
This 253-nucleotide ribosomal RNA is filed under the name uncultured bacterium. RNAcentral's name for it is "partial 16S ribosomal RNA". It matches the Rfam family "Bacterial small subunit ribosomal RNA", at positions 524 to 776 of the family's 1533-position model. The record is from RNAcentral.